This 3182-nucleotide long non-coding RNA is filed under the name Salmo salar (Atlantic salmon). RNAcentral describes it as "lncRNA (ENSSSAG00000110630.1)". Lineage: Eukaryota; Metazoa; Chordata; Actinopteri; Salmoniformes; Salmonidae. The record is from RNAcentral.
GCUAAGUGUCAAGUUCAACUACCACCAAGCUACAGCAAAAUGUAAUUCAAUUACUAGUUGAGCUACAUGUAGUUCACUUCUCCCCAACACUGUAAGUUCUACACUUUUAAAAGAUAACCAUCUUGCUUUGGGGGGCUGAUAUUGCAGUGACACCAUUGUGCGUUUGGCUCAAUCAUCCCAAUGCCGCCGGAGAAGAAAUCUUAGUGAGUCAGAAGCCAGGAUGGAGGCAGCAAUUCUCCUCAAGGAAACUUGGCUCCCACGUUUGGAGCCAUUUCAGAUUCAAUCACACUUGAUCAACUUGGACCGAGUCCUUCGGUAUUUAUAGAAAGUUAAACGGUGCAACCUGUUCUUCGAAGAGAGGACCUGGAAAAACCUCUACACCUUCUGAGUUCCUUGACAUCCACGGUCGCCAUUCACUCCCUUCUGUCGGGCAUUUUGCAUCUCUUCAGAGGAAGGCAGCCAAAGCAGGAGGCGGCUUGAGGCCAUCCCACACUUCACCUCUGACCCUACUCUCUCGCAUCUCUGGUUAUGUCACCCUCAUUGACGUAAUUGAGUGUUGAAGCUAAUGGCUCAGUCGGUGUGGUGACAAUGAAAUUUAUACGCCAUGAUCAGAUCUAGCGAUUGCAUUUUCCCUCCAUACUGGAAAACGGGACAGUUUGGCCAAUCAGUCAAACGCAGUGAAAGCGCUGUCAAUCAUAAAAAGUAAUUAUUGUGACAUAAUGGAUUCUGAAGCACAAGAGCCAAUUAACAACUUUAAUGAAUAGAUUAGCCGAAGAAGCAGCCAGGUAGCUAAGGAACAACACUUGACCACUCGCCACCCACCUAACUCUUGCGACACCAACUUAUAGCAUUAGAUCUUAGCAGGCUUGUAUGAUAACCGAGACAGUUAUUAUGAGGACAUCGACUGAUAACUUGGUUUGUGAAUCACUGGGCUGUUAUUCAUGAAGUCUCUCAGAGUAGAAUAGCUUAUCUAGGAUCAGGCGCCGAUAUACAGUGCCUUCAGAAAGUAUUCAUACCCCUUAACUUAUUCCACAUUUUGUUGUGUUACAGCCUGAAUUCAAAAUUGAUUCAAUGGAUUGCUUUUACCCCAUAAUGACAAAUUGAAAACCUGCCCAGUCCUUAACGAUUACAAGCAUACCCAUAACAUGAUGCAGCCACAACUAUUCUUGACAAUAUGGAGAGUGGUACUCAGUAAUGUGUCGUAUUGGAUUUGCCCCAAACAUAACACUUAGUAUUCAGGACAAAAAGUGAAUUGCUUUGCCACAUUUUUUGCAGUAUUACUUUAGUGUCUUGUUGCAAACAGGAUGCAUGUUUUGGAAUAUUUGUAUUCUGUACAGGCUUCCUUCUUUUCACUCUGUCAAUUAGCUUAGUAUUAUGGAGUAACUACAAUGUUGUUGAUCCAUCCUCAGUUCUCCUAUCACAGCCAUUAAAUACUGUAACUGUUUUAAUGUCACCAUUGGCCUCAUUGUGAAAUCCCUGAGCGGUUUACUUCCUCUCCGGUAACUGAGUUAGGAAGGACGCCUGUAUUUUUGUAGUGACUGGGUGUAUUGAUACACCAUGUGUAAUUAAUAAGAUCACCAUACAUAAAGGGAUAUUCAAUGUCUGCUUUUAAACAUUUUCCCCAUCUACCAAAAGGUGACCUUCUUUGCGAGGCACUGGAAAACCUCCCUGGUCUUUGUGGUUGAAUCUGUGUUUGAAAUUCACUGCUUGACUAGGGGAUCUUAAUUGUAUAUGUGGGGUGCAGAGAUGAGGUAGUCCUUCAAAAACCAUGUUAAACACUAUUAAUGCACACAGAGUGAGUCCAUGCAAUUUAUUAUGUGACUUGUUAAAGCACAUUUUUACUCCUGAAUUUAUUUAGGCUUGGAUUAAUAAAGGGGUUGAAUACUUAUUGACUCAAGACGUUUCAGCUUUUCAAUUUUAAUUAAUUCAAUUAAUUAAUUCUAAAAACAUAAAUCCACUUUGAGAUGAUGGGGUAUUGUGUGUAGGCCAGUGACACAAAAUCACAAUUUAAUUAAUAUUACAUUUAAGCUGUAACACAAUAAAAUGUGAAAAUUGUCAAGGGGUGUGAAUACUUUCAGAUUAAGGCUGAGAUUCAAUCAACUGCAGAAAGUGGAUUUCUGCACGGCGCUAUGGAAAUCAAGUGUCAUCUCCCUCCAUAACAGACACGCUGCUGUGCAACUCAAACACAACUUUGAAAGCACAGAGUGGGAAUGUGCUAUAUGAAUUCUGGCCUGAAGUUUUACUAUCUACCACAGGUAUCAAAAGUACCUGUAGAUGACAAUGCAAUAUAGUGAAAAAGGAGUCUCCACAUGCUUCAAUCAGAUGCAAUGUCAGUGUUCAUUUGCUAAGUGUUCCGGCUGUUAAAUGUCCUAUAGUAAAUUCAUGACUUCAUUCAAAAGUGUCCCAAGUGCAAAGAACAUACUUGUGAUCAUGGUUAAGCUUUUAAUGUCAUGGAUUGUAUUUUCCCAGGUCUGUUCGCACAAUAUUGAUGGACAACGAUCCCUGUCCUGGUUUGCUCUCCUGCUCAGUCCUCUGCAAUGGGACAUGGUCCCACUGUGUCAGAAUGAAUCCUUCAGUCUGUCCUGGAUGACAUUAUAUGCUCAAUGAAGGGUAUGAAACAAUCCCUAAGUCCUCAUAUACCUUGAAUGUUCCUUGAAUGUGUUGUCUAAAUCGCUCAUGUUUUUUAAUAAUCUGUGCUCUAUAAAUGUGUACAUAGAACAUUAAUGUGAAACCUGUCAAACAGACGUUGGUAGUGAUUGGAAUCAGUUAUUGGGUGUCAAUUCAAUAAGUGCACUAUGCUGUGAAGCCAUUCAACAUGUACUGGCUAAAGAGAGAAAUACCAAGCUCAUCGGGAUAGAUUAUGAUUUUAGAGGUGUGCUAAUCUCUCGUGGACAGACUACAUAUUGAACAUCAAAUUUAAAAAAAUUAUUUGACACAUGCUUUGUAGACAACAGGUGCAGACUAACAGUGAUUCCCGGAUUUUCAUCUUAUUCCAAGCGGAUUCCAAAAGUUUUCCAACUGGGAUUUGCAACCCUAUUUAUAACACAGCAUUAUUGUUGAUGAGUUACACUAUAGUGAGUCUGAGGAAAAUAUGAGAUACUGUGCUUCACAGCAGAUUGACUAAGAACACAUUCCUGAGGAUUCUCAUUUCAUACCCAACCCAUACAGCCUGAAAACCCAGC